CCUACGGGUGGCACCAGUGGGGAAUUUUGGACAAUGGGCGAAAGCCUGAUCCAGCAAUGCCGCGUGUGUGAAGAAGGCCUUCGGGUUGUAAAGCACUUUUGUCCGGAAAGAAAUCCUUGGCUCUAAUACAGUCGGGGGAUGACGGUACCGGAAGAAUAAGCACCGGCUAACUACGUGCCAGCAGCCGCGGUAAUACGUAGGGUGCAAGCGUUAAUCGGAAUUACUGGGCGUAAAGCGUGCGCAGGCGGUUUGCUAAGACCGAUGUGAAAUCCCCGGGCUCAACCUGGGAACUGCAUUGGUGACUGGCAGGCUAGAGUAUGGCAGAGGGGGGUAGAAUUCCACGUGUAGCAGUGAAAUGCGUAGAGAUGUGGAGGAAUACCGAUGGCGAAGGCAGCCCCCUGGGCCAAUACUGACGCUCAUGCACGAAAGCGUGGGGAGCAAACAGGAUUAGAUACCCUUGUAGUC
RNAcentral lists this ribosomal RNA (465 nucleotides) under uncultured bacterium. RNAcentral describes it as "bacterial SSU rRNA". It matches the Rfam family "Bacterial small subunit ribosomal RNA", at positions 338 to 795 of the family's 1533-position model. The record is from RNAcentral.